RNAcentral lists this transfer RNA (71 nucleotides) under Leptographium terebrantis. RNAcentral describes it as "tRNA-Met". It matches the Rfam family "tRNA". From Rfam's summary of the family: Transfer RNA (tRNA) molecules are approximately 80 nucleotides in length. Their secondary structure includes four short double-helical elements and three loops (D, anti-codon, and T loops). Lineage: Eukaryota; Fungi; Ascomycota; Sordariomycetes; Ophiostomatales; Ophiostomataceae. The record is from RNAcentral. RNAcentral also lists the same sequence under 4 other names.
GCCUGAAUAGUUUAAAGGUAAAACCUUAUUUUCAUACGAUAAUGAUGGGUAUUCGAUUUACCCUUCAGGCU